AGCUUUGUGCAGUGGCAGUAUAAUAGCCAGUGAGGUUUAUCCGAAGCAUGAUUAUUACUAAUAGAAAAAUUAGUUUUCAAUAAUUUUAGCUUUAAAGAAUUAUGCUUCUGGCAAGAUAGUAUUGUAUCUGUUUUAGCA
Manis javanica (Malayan pangolin) is the source of this 138-nucleotide small nuclear RNA. RefSeq annotates it as U4 spliceosomal RNA. NCBI's taxonomy places the organism in Eukaryota, Metazoa, Chordata, Mammalia, Pholidota, Manidae. The record is from RefSeq and is a predicted model, not a curated record.